Molecule: non-coding RNA, 330 nt
Organism: Merops nubicus (carmine bee-eater)
Lineage: Eukaryota; Metazoa; Chordata; Aves; Coraciiformes; Meropidae
Source: Rfam
GGAUGUGAGGGCGAUCUGGCUGCGACAUCUGUCACCCCACUGAUCGCCAGGGUUGAUUCGGCUGAUCUGGCAGGCUAGGCGGGUGUCCCCUUCCUCCCUCACCGCUCCAUGUGCGUCCCUCCCGAAGCUGCGCGCUUGGUCGAAGAGGACGACCUUCCCCGAUAGAGGCGUACCGUUCAUCGGUCAAGGGUAUACGGUAGCUGCGCUCCCCUGCUAGAGCCUCCAAACAAGCUCAAGGUCCAUUUGUAGGAGAACGUAGGGUAGUCAAGCUUCCAAGACUGCAGACACAUCCAAGUGAGGCACUGCAUGGGGCAGUCUGCCAUUGUAAUU